Molecule: ribosomal RNA, 336 nt
Filed under: Astrothelium grossum
Lineage: Eukaryota; Fungi; Ascomycota; Dothideomycetes; Trypetheliales; Trypetheliaceae
Description: mitochondrial SSU rRNA
Source: RNAcentral
CUUGGGAGAAUGAUUCUUAUUUUAAUAAUAAUAUAUAUUAUUAUUAAACUUAAGUAUUCAUGAAAUUUGAAUAUAAUUCUAGGUAAAAAUUUGAUAAUGACAAAGUUUUAUCUAUUUGUCUUGACCAAAUCUUGUGCCAGCAGUCGCGGCAACACAAGGAAGACAAGUGUUAUUCAUCUUAAAUCGGUUUAAGGGGUACCUAGACGGUAAAUUAGGCCAUAGUAGGAACGUUUUUACUAGAGUUAUACAUGCAUGGGGAUUGUGUCAGUAUUACCAGAGUAGAGAUGAAAUUUUUUGAUACUGUUAAGACUGGUAAAGGCGAAAGCAAACCUUUAU